Acanthochromis polyacanthus (spiny chromis) is the source of this 75-nucleotide non-coding RNA. The record is from the annotation of a RefSeq genome assembly. NCBI's taxonomy places the organism in Eukaryota, Metazoa, Chordata, Actinopteri, Pomacentridae.
GGCACUGUGACUUAGUUGGUCAAAGCACCUGUCUAGUAAACAGGAGAUCCUGAGGUUCAAAUCCCAGCAGUGCCU